AGAACUGAUGUGGGAAACAGUGGCAGAGAGUUAGAGAAAGCAGCAAAGACUACAAGACUUCAGAGUCACAGCUGGCUACAAACCCACCCCCUGCACCCAGUACCACUAGCUGGAGACACUGGAAGAUGCUCUUGUUAUUCUCGGAUCACCGCCUACCCCCAAACCCAUCCUCCCUGCUGCCUUACCUGAGAAGUUGAACCCCAGAGACAGAAAGGGUCACCUGCACUCCUUGUACUGGGCCUUCCCAUCGGCCAAUGUGUGGCAUGAACGAGGCUGCAUCCCUCUUCCAUAGCACCUGCACUCGUAGGCUCUGCAAAUUUCAUCCCCGCCUUUGGCCCUUCAGGCCUAGGGCAAGUCACAGCUCCCCAGGACUGUUCAUCCCCAGGUGUCUCACCAUCCCUAGAUAGCACCUGUAAGCCUGACUACACCUCUGUAAAGCGCGCCCUUCAUUAAACUUUCUUCUGUUAAA
RNAcentral lists this long non-coding RNA (469 nucleotides) under Pan troglodytes (chimpanzee). RNAcentral's name for it is "lincRNA". Lineage: Eukaryota; Metazoa; Chordata; Mammalia; Primates; Hominidae. The record is from RNAcentral.